AUUGAACGCUGGCGGCAUGCCUUACACAUGCAAGUCGAACGGCAGCAUGAUCUAGCUUGCUAGAUUGAUGGCGAGUGGCGAACGGGUGAGUAAUACAUCGGAACGUGCCCUGUAGUGGGGGAUAACUAGUCGAAAGAUUAGCUAAUACCGCAUACGACCUGAGGGUGAAAGUGGGGGACCGCAAGGCCUCAUGCUAUAGGAGCGGCCGAUGUCUGAUUAGCUAGUUGGUGGGGUAAAGGCCCACCAAGGCGACGAUCAGUAGCUGGUCUGAGAGGACGAUCAGCCACACUGGGACUGAGACACGGCCCAGACUCCUACGGGAGGCAGCAGUGGGGAAUUUUGGACAAUGGGGGCAACCCUGAUCCAGCAAUGCCGCGUGUGUGAAGAAGGCCUUCGGGUUGUAAAGCACUUUUGUCCGGAAAGAAAUCGCACUUACUAAUAUUAGGUGUGGAUGACGGUACCGGAAGAAUAAGGACCGGCUAACUACG
Molecule: ribosomal RNA, 488 nt
Filed under: uncultured bacterium
Lineage: Bacteria
Description: partial 16S ribosomal RNA
Rfam family: Bacterial small subunit ribosomal RNA
Source: RNAcentral